RNAcentral lists this ribosomal RNA (690 nucleotides) under Bacillus subtilis. Its description in RNAcentral is "bacterial SSU rRNA". It matches the Rfam family "Bacterial small subunit ribosomal RNA", at positions 73 to 747 of the family's 1533-position model. The record is from RNAcentral. Lineage: Bacteria; Bacillati; Bacillota; Bacilli; Caryophanales; Bacillaceae.
UGGGAGCUUGCUCCCUGAUGUUAGCGGCGGACGGGUGAGUAACACGUGGGUAACCUGCCUGUAAGACUGGGAUAACUCCGGGAAACCGGGGCUAAUACCGGAUGCUUGUUUGAACCGCAUGGUUCAAACAUAAAAGGUGGCUUCGGCUACCACUUACAGAUGGACCCGCGGCGCAUUAGCUAGUUGGUGAGGUAACGGCUCACCAAGGCAACGAUGCGUAGCCGACCUGAGAGGGUGAUCGGCCACACUGGGACUGAGACACGGCCCAGACUCCUACGGGAGGCAGCAGUAGGGAAUCUUCCGCAAUGGACGAAAGUCUGACGGAGCAACGCCGCGUGAGUGAUGAAGGUUUUCGGAUCGUAAAGCUCUGUUGUUAGGGAAGAACAAGUACCGUUCGAAUAGGGCGGUACCUUGACGGUACCUAACCAGAAAGCCACGGCUAACUACGUGCCAGCAGCCGCGGUAAUACGUAGGUGGCAAGCGUUGUCCGGAAUUAUUGGGCGUAAAGGGCUCGCAGGCGGUUUCUUAAGUCUGAUGUGAAAGCCCCCGGCUCAACCGGGGAGGGUCAUUGGAAACUGGGGAACUUGAGUGCAGAAGAGGAGAGUGGAAUUCCACGUGUAGCGGUGAAAUGCGUAUAGAUGUGGAGGAACACCAGUGGCGAAGGCGACUCUCUGGUCUGCAACUGACGCU